RNAcentral lists this ribosomal RNA (486 nucleotides) under uncultured bacterium. RNAcentral describes it as "partial 16S ribosomal RNA". It matches the Rfam family "Bacterial small subunit ribosomal RNA", at positions 30 to 507 of the family's 1533-position model. The record is from RNAcentral.
AUUGAACGCUGGCGGCAUGCCUUACACAUGCAAGUCGAACGGCAGCACGGGUGCUUGCACCUGGUGGCGAGUGGCGAACGGGUGAGUAAUACAUCGGAACAUGUCCUGUAGUGGGGGAUAGCCCGGCGAAAGCCGGAUUAAUACCGCAUACGAUCUACGGAUGAAAGCGGGGGACCUUCGGGCCUCGCGCUAUAGGGUUGGCCGAUGGCUGAUUAGCUAGUUGGUGGGGUAAAGGCCUACCAAGGCGACGAUCAGUAGCUGGUCUGAGAGGACGACCAGCCACACUGGGACUGAGACACGGCCCAGACUCCUACGUGAGGCAGCAGUGGGGAAUUUUGGACAAUGGGCGAAAGCCUGAUCCAGCAAUGCCGCGUGUGUGAAGAAGGCCUUCGGGUUGUAAAGCACUUUUGUCCGGAAAGAAAUCCUUGGCCCUAAUACGGUCGGGGGAUGACGGUACCGGAAGAAUAAGCACCGGCUAACUACGUG